Molecule: non-coding RNA, 141 nt
Filed under: Ditylum brightwellii
Lineage: Eukaryota; Bacillariophyta; Thalassiosirophyceae; Lithodesmiales; Lithodesmiaceae
Source: RNAcentral
UCCUCGCGCGGAGGAGUCAAAGGGGACCACGACACCUGAAGCUGCACCACAAACAGCAGAAAUGAAGUUACUUUCUGUGGCUCCAACAAUAACUCCAGAAAUGACAGAAAGAUCAAUAAUUAUCAAAGAAUCCACAAAUUA